GCGAACGCUGGCGGCAGGCUUAACACAUGCAAGUCGAGCGGGCGUAGCGAUACGUCAGCGGCAGACGGGUGAGUAACGCGUGGGAACAUACCUUUUGGUUCGGAACAACCCAGGGAAACUUGGGCUAAUACCGGAUAAGCCCUUACGGGGAAAGAUUUAUCGCCGAAAGAUUGGCCCGCGUCUGAUUAGCUAGUUGGUGAGGUAAUGGCUCACCAAGGCGACGAUCAGUAGCUGGUCUGAGAGGAUGAUCAGCCACAUUGGGACUGAGACACGGCCCAAACUCCUACGGGAGGCAGCAGUGGGGAAUAUUGGACAAUGGGGGCAACCCUGAUCCAGCCAUGCCGCGUGAGUGAUGAAGGCCCUAGGGUUGUAAAGCUCUUUUGUGCGGGAAGAUAAUGACGGUACCGCAAGAAUAAGCCCCGGCUAACUUCGU
Molecule: ribosomal RNA, 433 nt
Filed under: uncultured bacterium
Lineage: Bacteria
Description: bacterial SSU rRNA
Rfam family: Bacterial small subunit ribosomal RNA
Source: RNAcentral